This 297-nucleotide ribosomal RNA is filed under the name uncultured bacterium. Its description in RNAcentral is "partial 16S ribosomal RNA". It matches the Rfam family "Bacterial small subunit ribosomal RNA", at positions 333 to 627 of the family's 1533-position model. The record is from RNAcentral.
UCUGCCCUACGGGACGCAGCAGUGAGGAAUAUUGGUCAAUGGGCGCGAGCCUGGACCAGCCAAGUCGCGUGAGGGAUGACGGUCCUACGGAUUGUAAACCUCUUUUGCCGGGGAGCAAGCGUGCGUUCGUGAACGCGCGUCGAGAGUACCCGGAGAAAAAGCAUCGGCUAACUCCGUGCCAGCAGCCGCGGUAAUACGGAGGAUGCGAGCGUUAUCCGGAUUUAUUGGGUUUAAAGGGUGCGUAGGCGGGAUGCCGAGUAAGCGGUAAAAAUGCGGUGCUCAACGCAGCCUAGCCGU